GGCAAGCACCUACAGAUGACACCAUCCUGCAUGCUGCACAGAGAUGGAGGUUUGAAAUAGUUGUUGGAGAUCUGUGAUACUGCACCAUCAUAAGUAACUUUUUAUGCACUCAAGCGUGACCAACUCCCGUCCUCCAGUUUCCACCUAAUCAUCAUUUCACUGCAUGACAAGGACACUCAUAAAAGUGUUGAAUUAUUUGACUAGGGCCAAAUUGGGCUUUUCAUCACGUCUUUGCUGAAGGAUAUUUCACAAAUCCCAACGCUGAAUGAUUUCAUGCGGAGGGCGACAUUGACCCACAGGAUAUGUUCUCUGCCUUUAAUUUGGUCCCAGGUGAAGAAGGAAAAAAAAACAAGAGGUUCAAGAUAAAGAAGCAAGUUGAUGGAUGGAUCAGGAGCCUUCAAGCUUUAGAGUCUGUUAAAGUCAAGAACUUGUUUGUUUUUGAUAUGUUCCUGAGCUUCCUGUACAUGAGUGGAAUCCAGCGAUGGCAAACAACACCUCAAUGUGCUAAGGUUCAGAUCAUUUGACAUCUUCAGGCUGGGGGAAAAGAAAAAAAAGAGAAAUACUCUUUAAAAUACCUUUUUUAAAACACAAAGCUCUGAGCAAAGACAGAGCCCAAAACUUUAGGAUCUAUUAGAAAAAAAA
Long non-coding RNA from Austrofundulus limnaeus, 642 nucleotides. RefSeq lists it as uncharacterized. NCBI's taxonomy places the organism in Eukaryota, Metazoa, Chordata, Actinopteri, Cyprinodontiformes, Rivulidae. The record is from RefSeq and is a predicted model, not a curated record. The transcript is spliced from 2 exons.